This 77-nucleotide transfer RNA is filed under the name Deinococcus sp. Its description in RNAcentral is "tRNA-Asp". It matches the Rfam family "tRNA". From Rfam's summary of the family: Transfer RNA (tRNA) molecules are approximately 80 nucleotides in length. Lineage: Bacteria; Thermotogati; Deinococcota; Deinococci; Deinococcales; Deinococcaceae. The record is from RNAcentral.
GGAGCUGUGGUGCAGCUGGUUAGCACGCCAGCCUGUCAAGCUGGAGGUCGCGGGUUCAAGUCCCGUCAGCUCCGCCA